RNAcentral lists this long non-coding RNA (550 nucleotides) under Monodelphis domestica (gray short-tailed opossum). Its description in RNAcentral is "lncRNA (ENSMODG00000035988.2)". Lineage: Eukaryota; Metazoa; Chordata; Mammalia; Didelphimorphia; Didelphidae. The record is from RNAcentral.
GAGGUAGUAAGUGAUAUAUAAAAAUGGAGACUUGAAUCCAGGACUUCAAUCCCCAGAAGUCCUUGCUCCACUUCCCCAGAAUGCUUUGUAAUCUCACUGAAUUCUCACCUGGGACGAGAGCAGAUCAUUAUUUAAAGGGUCUCUGCCCACAGCGGGGUCUCUUCUCUUCCUGUCUCCUCUGGCAAGCAGAACCGUCUCAUGAUGUGGAUGUGUCUUGAUAUUUUUAAAUUGCUGGAGGCUGCAAAAAGUGAAAAUGACAAGAAUUCAAUUAGUGAUGCCUAACUAGAGUCCAGUGGUUGAAUUGCUUUGAAGAUUAUUUGUUAGCAUAAAUAAUUUAAAGCUCUAAACAGUCCUAGAUGAAAUAUGUGUAAUUCUUCACCAUAUUCAACUCUCUCUGAAGAGAUCAUAAUGUACAGUGUUAUUGAUCCAUUAGAUUAAAACAAUCCUAAACUUUUCUUCCAAUCUAUAUUCCUUGGUCCAGAGAAAUAUAACUGUAAAGGCAUUUUUCUCUGCGAGCCUUACCAUCAAUAAAUAUGCUUCUGCACUCUUA